UCAUGGUGAUCUCAACACUUGGAAGAAUUAGGUGCAACGGACAUGAGAGUCUAGCCAAGGGUAAAGGAGAGACGAUCUCCCUUGUUGAACAAGUUAAUGGCGAAGGGGAGACGACUGUCAUUAAUUUGUUCUCUCUAGACUUCUAUCCCAUCACCAAUAAGCCAUUAGAUCACUCAAUCUUAACCGGACCAAACCAAAGAGGAGGCAACCAAUCUAUUGAAGAUACUGUUCAACCCAAAAAGAGCCACGAGCAUUGUCCAGGUCAAAUGAAGUCCAAUAACAAGUGUUCCAGCCCAACUGCCACUUGGAUCACAUUCUUAGCUCAACCAAAGCACGCCUCGAAGUGGAAUCAGUCCAAUUGGAGUUCAGAUGAAGGAGAUAUUGAGUUUAUAAAUCGGGUGAUCCUCUACUUACCCGAUUUGGACAUAUGCGCCUUAAUUGGAGAAUUCCGACUAAACCAGGAGGAAUUAAGCUAUCAACCGACUUGUUCUGGAAUCUUGACUCAUCAGAGAAUCACAGAGAAUUUGAUUCAGACCGAGAUCGAUUCUGGUUUAGGAGAUAUCCAAAUUCUAACCCGAUGGAUCCUCCACUUGCCUUAUUUGCCACCUUCUAGGUUUUGGAGUCUUCAGACAUAUCUUUGGCGACCAGGAGACAUUCUAACUCAACCAGAGGCUCUACGAGGCGUCCUUACUUCCACCAAAACGCAUAGGAUCAAUUGGAGAUGCACAUGGACCGACCUUCCUUAUUUAGAUCCAAGUGCAUUCAACAUGUUCACACUUGGUGUCAUAACUCUCCAACGGCUAUAUCCUUGCUGCUUCUACGACUUGAGCACACAUUCAGCGAACCUGGACGUCCCAAGACAUCACUUCUACGCACCCAAGUUGUCAAGACUUAAGCUCAGCUCCAUUUACCUUAUUUGGCCGAGAUUUGGUCAUUAUGACUUAAACGGCUAGUUUUGCAUUUAGUUUGUGAUUUCUUUCUUGCUUUAGCUUUUUAGAACUUCGGUUUAGACUUGUGUAGAGCAUUAUAUAAGCUCAUCUUUGUCUUCAUUGUAAAUCACCAUUCAAUCUUAAAUAAAAGGCAUUUUCGUUUUCUUCAAAGAGAGUUCUUUGUAAGAGUUGUUUAUUUUGAAUAUUGUGUGUGAUUCACAUUGUUCAUUAGAAUUCUUGGAUUAAACUAUUUGUGUGAUUCAAGUAGUCUGUUCCAUCACCUGAUAGAGAGAGUCUAUCAUCAUCAGAUUGAGUGAGUCAAUCAAAUCCACCACCUUCCAUCCCACCUUCAUAUCCACUUCCGCACAAAGCUUGUUAGCUUUUGAUUAUCAAGAGAUCACUAAGCAUCGGUGUGAUUCCGUGCCUACAUCAUCUGGUAUCAGAGCUCAAGUUCCUACCAAGGUGCUUUUGUUUUUAUCUUUUGCUUUUUGUUAUUUCUUUCAUUAUAAAAUUAAAAACCCAUAAAAAACUUGUUUCCAUUCUGUUUUCAUUGUUUUGUUAUCUGAUUUCUUUUCUAGACUCACAAAAAAAAAAAAUCUCUUGUUUUGAAAUAUUCUAUGCUUGCUUUGAUUCUCAAAACCAGAAAAUAAAAAUAAGAAUUUUUCCUUUUGUUAUUUGCAUUUUCGAAUUCUUUUCAAAAAAAAAAAUCAUAAAGAAAAUUUUGCUUUUGCUUAUUUUAGUUAUCGAGAUCUUCCGUUUUUAAAAGAAAGAAAACCAAAUAAAAAGUUAAUUAUUUCUUCUGAAUUUUGUCCCAAAAAAAAAUAAUAAUAAUCUGUUUUCCUUUUUCUUGUUAGUCGAAUUACUUUGUUUCCUUUUACUUGGUCGUGUCUUCAAUAUUGCAAAUAUUUAUUUUUGUCGACCACUGAGUCACGCUUCUGAUUAUCUCUUGUCUCUCUCUUGCGAGGUACAACUUUAAAGCCAGAAAAUUAUGGAGUAUGAAGAUGAAGCCAACAAAUACAACACAUCCGAAAUUGAUUGGGGUGAGGAACCGUAUGAUUCAUGGGAAGGAGGAGGAGCAUACGAAGACCAGUCAUGCUAUGGAGAAACUGAUCCUUAUAUUAGUUAUGGAAGUGCCCCAGCAUGUGAAGAAGAAGACUCACAGAUCGAAGGUGCUGCUUCCCAAAUCAGUCAUGGAGAUGAAUAUGAGAAUUCUGAAAGAGAUGACCAUGACGGAGAUUCAUGGCAGGGAGAGACUGAAUCCCAGCUCAGUCAAGGAGAGGGGGACCACGAAAGUGAGCAAGAUCAUAGAGAGUUCACUUAUGCAGGAGAUCAUGAUCAGUUCAUAGAACAAUACCAAAAACGUUGGUAUGAAGAAACUGAUUCUCAAAUCAGUUCAGAAGAUGGUGAUCCAUAUGAUGAUGAGCCUUGGAACGUGGGAGUUGAUCCAAAAGAAGGUUAUGUUGAUAAAUUGGAGAUUGAAGAACAGGUUCAAGAACCAAAUAAAGCAAACAUCAACUACACCAUGGAAGAUGAGUCUUGUGGUGAGCCAACAGAUGAUGAAGCAGCUUGUGAGCCAUGUCACAUCUACUUUUCAGGUCAUGAUCAAGGACCAGAAGCUUACCUACAAUGGGAGAACGAAAUGGAAUACUGGAUGCGGUCCAACAACAUUCCUAAGGAGGAGAGACUAUCAUAUGCAAAUUGACUCAUUUGUUGGAGAAGCUACCACCUGGUGGCGACAGGAAGAAGCUCUAAACUACUACCAUAAUCCAGUUCGCAGUUGGGGUGAUCUAAAGCAGCGUAUGCACAGAGAGUUCGUACAGAAGUUCUACAACCGCAACUACACUCCCAAGAAGCUUUUGUUCCAAGCAACUACAAAAGGUUGGAUAUCAAAACCACCGCUUGUCCCUAAGCACAAGCACGCCUACUGUCCUGAGCCAAAGAAAGUGUUUCAAAACACUUUGGAGAAGAAGUCAAAUGCUGAGAAACCAGUGGUAACUACAGAAGUUAAACCAAAUUUAAACCCACCACUCACAGCUCACAAGGGAAGCACAAAAUCGACACUUGAGCCACAAGACAAAGCAAAGCAAUGUAAGUCUUCUAAAACUCUUAUGAUAGAUACCAAAAUCUGUUAUAGAUGUCAUCAGAGAGGACAUUUUGCUAAGACAUGCCCAUCUAGAGAAUUAGAGAUUAGUUCAUCAGUUGAACCAGAAAAAGAAGAAGCUAGAAAAAUAGAAAAAGAUGAGUUGCAUUUUAAAAUUUCCAAUUCAGAUAUGAUUUGCUUGUCUUUGCCAAAGGUUUUUGAUGCAGGUUUAAAUCAUGGAGAGCAGCACUAUGAAGAGAUAGAUAUGUGUCAGCCUACUCCUGAGAAAGAUGAAGUUGUUACCAACUUCACUCUGAUCCAACCAGAGCCACCAGAUAACAUGUUAACUCCAAAUGUCGUGGCAAUAAAGGAAACAGAACUAAACGAUAGUUCUACUCAGGUAAGUAGCACAAUUCUCUCACUUAUUUCUGAUAAUUCUAAGUCUGUGAUAAUGAAUAUUUUAUAUCCAGAGACAUGUGAGAAAGAACCCAUCUCUUAUUUUAAACAACAAAACUGUGAACAAUAUGAUGCUUUGCAAAAGGUUAAUGAAAUGGUUAAACCUAGAUCAUGUUUCUGUGUUUCUUGUACUACCAUGACUGCCAUAACGCACUUGUCUUCUGUCAAAAGUGUCAAAGAUCUUGCAGGUACAGAAGAGAUUUUACAAAAAUCCAAACCACCAAGCUUUAGUGGAGACACACCACGUGAAUAUGAAGUUUUCACCAAGACGACUACGUUGCUGCCAAAGGAAAUCAACAACAAACCUUGGAGAGGAGUCAUUGCCUCUUUACUGAUCAAAGAAGAACCACCAGACAUUCCACACCAAUCCCACCUGAACUGGAAUGGAGAAAUGAUCCAAGGUAAGUUUCUAGACUCACAUCUUUACCAUAAUACUAACUUGCUCUAUCUUUGUGCAGAUGAAUUAGUUUCGAGGACGAAACUUUUUCAAGAGGGAGGGUAUGAUGCGGACAUCAACCCAUCAAGACGUCUCAUGGUGAUCUCAACACUUGGAAGAAUUAGGUGCAACGGACAUGAGAGUCUAGCCAAGGGUAAAGGAGAGACGAUCUCCCUUGUUGAACAAGUUAAUGGCGAAGGGGAGACGACUGUCAUUAAUUUGUUCUCUCUAGACUCCUAUCCCAUCACCAAUAAGCCAUUAGAUCACUCAAUCUUAACCGGACCAAACCAAAGAGGAGGCAACCAAUCUAUUGAAGAUACUGUUCAACCCAAAAAGAGCCACGAGCAUUGUCCAGGUCAAAUGAAGUCCAAUAACAAGUGUUCCAGCCCAACUGCCACUUGGAUCACAUUCUUAGCUCAACCAGAGCACACCUCGAAGUGGAAUCAGUCCAAUUGGAGUUCAGAUGAAGGAGAUAUUGAGUUUAUAAAUCGGGUGAUCCUCUACUUACCCGAUUUGGACAUAUGCGCCUUAAUUGGAGAAUUCCGACUAAACCAGGAGGAAUUAAGCUAUCAACCGACUUGUUCUGGAAUCUUGACUCAUCAGAGAAUCACAGAGAAUUUGAUUCAGACCGAGAUCGAUUCUGGUUUAGGAGAUAUCCAAAUUCUAACCCGAUGGAUCCUCCACUUGCCUUAUUUGCCACCUUCUAGGUUUUGGAGUCUUCAGACAUAUCUUUGGCGACCAGGAGACAUUCUAACUCAACCAGAGGCUCUACGAGGCGUCCUUACUUCCACCAAAACGCAUAGGAUCAAUUGGAGAUGCACAUGGACCGACCUUCCUUAUUUAGAUCCAAGUGCAUUCAACAUGUUCACACUUGGUGUCAUAACUCUCCAACGGCUAUAUCCUUGCUGCUUCUACGACUUGAGCACACAUUCAGCGAACCUGGACGUCCCAAGACAUCACUUCUACGCACCCAAGUUGUCAAGACUUAAGCUCAGCUCCAUUUACCUUAUUUGGCCGAGAUUUGGUCAUUAUGACUUAAACGGCUAGUUUUGCAUUUAGUUUGUGAUUUCUUUCUUGCUUUAGCUUUUUAGAACUUUAGUUUAGACUUGUGUAGAGCAUUAUAUAAGCUCAUCUUUGUCUUCAUUGUAAAUCACCAUUCAAUCUUAAAUAAAAGGCA
RNAcentral lists this long non-coding RNA (5078 nucleotides) under Eutrema salsugineum. Its description in RNAcentral is "long non-coding RNA (ESAL_LNC000537)". The record is from RNAcentral. Lineage: Eukaryota; Viridiplantae; Streptophyta; Magnoliopsida; Brassicales; Brassicaceae.